Molecule: ribosomal RNA, 494 nt
Filed under: uncultured bacterium
Lineage: Bacteria
Description: partial 16S ribosomal RNA
Rfam family: Bacterial small subunit ribosomal RNA
Source: RNAcentral
GACGAACGCUGGCGGCGUGCUUAACACAUGCAAGUCGAACGGUGAAGCGCCUUCCUUUUUGGUGGGUGUGGAUGAGUGGCGAACGGGUGAGUAACACGUGAGUAACCUGCCCCCUUCUUCUGGAUAACCGCAUGAAAGUGUGGCUAAUACGGGAUAUUCUGGGUCUGUCGCAUGAUGGGUCUGGGAAAGAUAUUGUUUCGGUGGGGGAUGGGCUCGCGGCCUAUCAGCUUGUUGGUGGGGUGAUGGCCUACCAAGGCGGUGACGGGUAGCCGGCCUGAGAGGGUGGACGGUCACACUGGGACUGAGACACGGCCCAGACUCCUACGGGAGGCAGCAGUGGGGAAUAUUGCACAAUGGGCGCAAGCCAGAUGCAGCGACGCCGCGUGAGGGAUGGAGGCCUUCGGGUUGUGAACCUCUUUCGCCAGUGAAGCAGGCCUGCCUCGUUUGUGGGUGGGUUGACGGUAGCUGGAUAAGAAGCGCCGGCUAACUACGUG